CAGGCUAUACUUGUAUAUCAGAUUUUCCUGAUGUAUUCAGCAGCCGGGCCGGGGGUUCUCCACAGGGUUCUCCCCUCCAGACUAGUAUGGGGUCCGCGCGGGCCACUACUGACUACCUGUCGUUGAAGGGGACCGUGGGCAGAAGCACAACUAAGGGGGCUGGAUUGAGGCAGCAUGGGGCGGGUCUCUGGAGGACCCUCCCCAUUGCCCUCACCUUGUUGGUCCGCCCCCUCCCACCUGACCCGGCUAAUCUCUUGAGGUCUGGGCGAGGAGGUUUCUCCCCACUACCUGCAGCACCAGGUUGGCAUUUUGGGGAGGCUGUGGCUUUGGCACCUGGAACAAAAGGCCUCUCGCCCCUGUGUUUUGUGCUCUGCCACACCCUCUGCCUCUGGGGCAGCCAGCAUCCCUGCUGUUGCCACAUUUCCGAGGGCGAGUUCCACGAUGGAAGGCUGCUGGCUUCCUUGCUUUCAUAUCCCCUGCCUUGGGGCACCGGAGCCCAGGCCUCCACUUCCAGCUCUGCGCCAGCCACUUCUUAAGCGUCUUUUCAGCCAGGGUGCCAAGGGUGUUGCUUCAUCUUCCUGGGUCGCAGAAUGAAGGCUAUGCAGAGGAGAGCCACAGCUGACUCUGACAAUCAUGUUGCAAGAGUGAGAAAACAUCCUUUGUGCCGUGGUUGAACUCCAUCCCCCAAUGGUAUAUUUGAAAGGAGAGCUUCAGAGGGAGUGCAUACAGUGAUUGGAAGGGAGGACACUGGCUCAUGUUCCAAGUCUUGUGUUUAGAGAUCUUCCUCCAUGAUGGAGACUUUACCUUCAUCACCAUUUCCAGUUCUUCCUCCAUGGGGCUCAGCCUGGGUCAUCUUAGUAACUUUCUCCUUCUCUGAAUUCCUAUAGAAUCUGAAAGUUUUGUGUUAGACAAUGUACCAAUUGAAUAAAGUGUGCUCAGAAGUUGGUUGUUUUUUUUUUUUAAAGCUGUGUCAAAGAGUAUGUUUUGUAUCAUAAACUAGGUUUAUAAGUUCUCUAAGGCAAGAGUCAAGUCUAUAUAAAUCCAAGUUUUCCAGAUCUCAAUUUUUUCCCUCAGUAACAUAAAAAGAAUUCCCAAGCUCUUGUCCAGUUCUGGAGUUCUGUUCUGUUUUCUGGAUGUGUUGCAACAUGAAGCUAAUUGCUAGGAAUGCUUACCAAAUAUCCAUUGGUUUGACUCAUCCUGAA
Long non-coding RNA from Bubalus bubalis (water buffalo), 1202 nucleotides. RefSeq lists it as uncharacterized. The record is from RefSeq and is a predicted model, not a curated record. The transcript is spliced from 4 exons. Lineage: Eukaryota; Metazoa; Chordata; Mammalia; Artiodactyla; Bovidae.